AUUCCAGCUCCAAUAGCGUAUAUUAAAGUUGUUGCGGUAAAAAAGCUCGUAGUUGGAUUUCUACCGAAGAUAGCCGGUCGGGUCUUCGACCUUGUAUCUGGUUUUGUCUUUGGUAUCCUCAUGGGGAACGUUGCUGCGCUUCACUGCGUGGUGCGGUAUCCAUGACUUUUACUUUGAGGAAAUUAGAGUGUUCACGGCAGGCAAACGCCCUGAAUAUAUUAGCAUGGAAUAAUAACAUAGGAUCUUCGUCCUAUUUUGUUGGUUUCUAGGGCUAAGAUAAUGAUUAAUAGGGAUAAUUGGGGGCAUCUGUAUCAACGCGUCAGAGGUGGAAUUCUUGGAUUGCGUUGCGACAAACUACUGCGAAAGCAUUUGCCAAGGAUGUUUUCAUCG
This 390-nucleotide ribosomal RNA is filed under the name Syndiniales sp. RNAcentral describes it as "partial small subunit ribosomal RNA". It matches the Rfam family "Eukaryotic small subunit ribosomal RNA", at positions 582 to 975 of the family's 1831-position model. The record is from RNAcentral. Lineage: Eukaryota; Dinophyceae; Syndiniales.